Molecule: ribosomal RNA, 546 nt
Filed under: uncultured bacterium
Lineage: Bacteria
Description: bacterial SSU rRNA
Rfam family: Bacterial small subunit ribosomal RNA
Source: RNAcentral
AGGCAGCAGUGGGGAAUCUUCCGCAAUGGACGAAAGUCUGACGGAGCAACGCCGCGUGAACGAUGACGGCCUUCGGGUUGUAAAGUUCUGUUAUACGGGACGAAUGGUACGACGGCCAAUACCCGUCGUAAGUGACGGUACCGUAAGAGAAAGCCACGGCUAACUACGUGCCAGCAGCCGCGGUAAUACGUAGGUGGCAAGCGUUGUCCGGAAUUAUUGGGCGUAAAGGGCGCGCAGGCGGCGUCGUAAGUCGGUCUUAAAAGUGCGGGGCUUAACCCCGUGAGGGGACCGAAACUGCGAUGCUAGAGUAUCGGAGAGGAAAGCGGAAUUCCUAGUGUAGCGGUGAAAUGCGUAGAUAUUAGGAGGAACACCAGUGGCGAAAGCGGCUUUCUGGACGACAACUGACGCUGAGGCGCGAAAGCCAGGGGAGCAAACGGGAUUAGAUACCCCGGUAGUCCUGGCCGUAAACGAUGGAUACUAGGUGUAGGAGGUAUCGACCCCUUCUGUGCCGGAGUUAACGCAAUAAGUAUCCCGCCUGGGGAGUAC